UACAGAGGGUGCGAGCGUUGUCCGGAAUCACUGGGCGUAAAGGGCGCGUAGGCGGCGCGGUAAGCGUGCGGUGAAAGCCCGGGGCUCAACCCCGGGUCGGCCGUGCGGACUGCCGGGCUGGAGCACUGUAGAGGCAGGUGGAAUUCCGGGUGUAGCGGUGAAAUGCGUAGAUAUCUGGAGGAACACCGGUGGCGAAGGCGGCAUCCUGGACCGGUAUUGACGCUGAGGCGCGAAAGCCAGGGGAGCAAAGCGGG
RNAcentral lists this ribosomal RNA (254 nucleotides) under uncultured bacterium. Its description in RNAcentral is "partial 16S ribosomal RNA". It matches the Rfam family "Bacterial small subunit ribosomal RNA", at positions 524 to 777 of the family's 1533-position model. The record is from RNAcentral.